AACGCUAGCUACAGGCUUAACACAUGCAAGUCGAGGGGCAGCAUGAUUGAAGCUUGCUUCAAUUGAUGGCGACCGGCGCACGGGUGAGUAACACGUAUCCAACCUGCCGAUGACUCGGGGAUAGCCUUUCGAAAGAAAGAUUAAUACCCGAUGGCAUAGUUCUUCCGCAUGGUGGAACUAUUAAAGAAUUUCGGUCAUCGAUGGGGAUGCGUUCCAUUAGGUUGUUGGCGGGGUAACGGCCCACCAAGCCUUGGAUGGAUAGGGGUUCUGAGAGGAAGGUCCCCCACAUUGGAACUGAGACACGGUCCAAACUCCUACGGGAGGCAGCAGUGAGGAAUAUUGGUCAAUGGACGAGAGUCUGAACCAGCCAAGUAGCGUGAAGGAUGACUGCCCUAUGGGUUGUAAACUUCUUUUAUACGGGAAUAAAGUGAGGCACGUGUGCCUUUUUGUAUGUACCGUAUGAAUAAGGAUCGGCUAACUCCGUGCCAGCAGCCGCGGUAAUACGGAGGAUCCGAGCGUUAUCCGGAUUUAUUGGGUUUAAAGGGAGCGUAGGCGGACGCUUAAGUCAGUUGUGAAAGUUUGCGGCUCAACCGUAAAAUUGCAGUUGAUACUGGGUGUCUUGAGUACAGUAGAGGCAGGCGGAAUUCGUGGUGUAGCGGUGAAAUGCUUAGAUAUCACGAAGAACUCCGAUUG
This 693-nucleotide ribosomal RNA is filed under the name uncultured bacterium. Its description in RNAcentral is "bacterial SSU rRNA". It matches the Rfam family "Bacterial small subunit ribosomal RNA", at positions 32 to 715 of the family's 1533-position model. The record is from RNAcentral.